This 4894-nucleotide long non-coding RNA is filed under the name Musa acuminata (dwarf banana). RNAcentral describes it as "long non-coding RNA (MACU_LNC001792)". Lineage: Eukaryota; Viridiplantae; Streptophyta; Magnoliopsida; Zingiberales; Musaceae. The record is from RNAcentral.
UGGAUUUGAAUGGGACUUUCUCCAUAAGUAAAAAGAUCUAGCUCCUUGUGCUCUGUACAUCUCAAGCUUUUUGCCACAUCUAAAAUUGACUUGAGGUUUGCAGGAGGAUCCCACUGAACAAAUUACUGGUGAUUCCUUCACUUUCAUAGGUAAACGAUAAAGGAAGUAGCAGCAUGUUGGAACCUUUGGUGUCUCCUCGAUUGGAGAGAGCAUUGUGUUGUCUGAUGUGGAACUUUCCCCUUGAUGUGCAUACACCUGCACAAUGAAAAGGUUUAGGUCAGCUUCUUUGGACAAGUCAGCAGGUUGACCAAAUUUGACCAGAUCCUUACCUUAUAUGAAGCGAAGCCAUCCUACUUGACAACUUAAUGAACUUAAUGCAUUCAGUAUAUUAUUAAUCAAUAUACUUAGUCACUUUACUAAUUAUUUUGUAACUUCUAAAUCCAAAGCCUGUAAUCUGGAAUUUGAUUUCUAAGCAGCAAUUGUAUAUAUACGAGCUUCAUCGUUGUGGAUAGGAGCAACAUGAUGGAUAGAAAUACAUCAGAGUUAUCAGCUAAAGACAAGUGUCAUCAAUAACAUAUUGCAUUGGUUUUUGUCUAUAACUUGAUCAUUAUUUCAUUUGUAGGUUAAAGUUACAUUAUCUGUAAAAUGUGAUCUUACUGUAAAAUAGUUUGGAAUCACUUUUCCUAAAGGAGCACUCUGUAAUCAGAUACAGACAUGAAGGUCAACACAAUAAUCAAGAUGUUAGAAGAAGAUGCUGAUUCCUUUGCAAGGAGAGCAGAGAUGUACUACAAGAAGCGUCCAGAGCUCAUGAAAUUGGUGGAGGAACUUUACCGAGCAUACCGUGCAUUAGCAGAGAGAUAUGAUCAUGCAACAGGAGCACUUCAUCAGGCUCAUCGAACAAUGGCAGAGGCAUUCCCUAGCCAAUUCCCGUUGGUGAUGUCAGAUGGAUCACCUUAUGGUUCUUUUGGAAAUGAGGCAGAACCUCACACACCUGAAGUGCCACCGGCCCUUCGUGCGUUAUUUGAUCCUAAUGAGUUACAGAAGGAUGCAUUGUGCUUGUCAUUAGAUUCACAUGUACUUAGAAGAAAUGGGUUAUAUUCUGAACAAAGUAGUUUAUCUUCAAGAAACAAGGGUUUGAAGCAAUUGAAUGAGAUGUUUGCAAUUGGGGAUGGGGCAGCACGCAUGACAUCUGAUGGGAGAGCAAGAAAAGGACUAAAUUUUCAGGAGGAAGAGGGAGAAAGUGUUGACAAUAACUCAAAAUUUUGGCCUGUAGAAAACACUAAACUUAUGGAGAAACAAGAUUCAAGCUAUGUAGCAAAAGGUCACCAACAAGACAUUUCCCAGUUAUCAGCUGGGAACCAUAAUCUGAAGAUUCUGAUAAUGGCAGAAUCUGAUCGUUCUAAUAAAACAGAAAAUGAGCAUCAAGGCUUGAAUCGUACUCUCUCUAAAAUGAGCUCUGAGAAGGAUGCAGAUAACAUUCAAUACCAAGUAUCUCCUGAAAGAACCUCAGUUCUUGAAUCUUGUCUCUCUGCCACACAAAAUGAAUUGAAUAAACUCAAUGAUGAAAUGCUGAGCAAAGUGAAGAACCUGCAGAGUUGUGAAGAACUUAACCAAUCUCUAUCAAUGGUACUAGAGAUGCUAAGAAAGAAAGCAGAUAUGCAGGAGUACAAACUUAUUCAGAAUCAGCAGGCAUUAGAAAAAUUCCACAAUACAAUUGAAGACAAACACCAGAAAUGUAUGCUGGCUGAGAUGGCUGUCCUCUUGGAGGAAAAGCUGCACACUCAAUCUCAGGAAGAGGUAAAUCAUUUGAGUCAAGAAAUUCAAAGAGGUAUCAAUGAGUUAAGGGAUAUGGAGCUGUAUAGUAUAGAUCUCCAGGAAAAGAUAUGCAAGCUUAAUGAUGAAAAUGACAGAUUAAAUGAACAAAAUCUUCACUCUAGCUUGAUGAACAAAAUGCUCCAAGACAAGAUCAAUUUGUUGGCUGAGAAAAAAAGGAUCCUUGAAGAUGAAGUUGGGCUCCUUGUUGGCGAAAAGGAAAUCUUUAUUCAAGAGCUGUGCCAUAUUAAAGAAAUUAGGAAUGACUUGGAAGUGAAACACCAAGAACUUAUGGAGGAAAAGGUAGCUGCCAGGAUACAUGCUGAGUCCCUUGAAACAGCCAUAAAAGAUUUGCAAAAUGAAAAUUCUGACUUGAAAGCUAUCUGCAAGAAGUAUGAAGCUGAUUUUGUGGAGAAGCUGAGAGAGAGGGACGAUAUUUUAAAGAAGAACACAGCAUUGGAAAGUUCACUAUCUGAUGUGCACAUAGAGUUAGGAGUUGUAAGAGAAAAGAUUUUAGCACUGAAGGAAUUGCACGAAUCUCUCAACAGAAAAAUUUCGACCAAUAUUGCUGAGAAGAAUGUGCUCAUCUCUAAGGUAGAAAUUCUUUCAAAGGAUGUGGAUACCCUUUCCAGAGAAAAAACCCUCUUGGAGAACUCUCUUUUUUGCUUAAGCACUGAACUUGGGUGUUUGAGGCCAAAGUUGAAAAUUUUUGAAGAAUCCUAUCAGUCGCUCAGCGAUCAGCAUUUUGCUCUUCUUGCUGAAAGGAACAGUCUUCUCUCUCAGGUAGAGAGCCUUACUCAGAAUGUGGAGAAGCAUUCAGAGAAAAGUUUGAUUUUGGAGAACUCACUAUCUGAUAUAAGCAGCGAAGUUGGGUAUCUGAGUUCAAAAUUGAAGGACUUUGAAGAAUCCUGUCAGUCUCUCAGUGAUCAGAACUCUGGUCUUCUAGCCAAGAGAAAUUCUCUUCUUUCUCAGGUAGAAAUUCUAACUCUGAAUGGGGAAAAGCUCUCAGACAAGAAUUCCUUCUUGGAGAAGUCCCUGUCUGAUAUGAACAAUGAAGCUGGGAAUUUGAGGUCAAAGUUGAAGGAAUCUGAAGAAUCCUGUCAGUCUCUCAUUGAGCAAAAGUCUGAUAUCUUUGCUGAAAGGAACACCUUGCUUUCUAAGGUAGAGAUUCUUAUUCAGAAUGUGGAGACACUCUUAGACAAGAAGUCCUUCUUGGAGAAGUCUCUAUCCGAGAUGAGCAAUGAAGUUGAGUGUUUAAGGUCAAACUUGAAGGAUUCUGAAGAAUUCUGUCUGUCUAUUAGUGGUCAGAACUCUGGACUUCUUGCUGAAAAGACAGCUCUUGUCUGUCAGGUACAGUUUCUUACUCAGAACAUGGAGAAGCUUUCACAGAAAAGUUCCGUCCUGGAGAACUCCCUAUCUGAUGCAAACAAUGAAGUUGGAUGUUUGAGGUCAAAGUUAAUAAACCUUGAAAGUUCCUGUAGUUCACUGUGUGAUCAGAACUUCUGCCUUAUUUCUGAAAGAGGCACUCUUCUGUCCCAGGCAGCGAUCCUUACCCAGGAUAUAGAGAAGCUUUCGGAGAAAAAUUCCUUCUUGGAGAACUCAUUAAUUAAUGCAAGCAGUGAAGUUGAGUGUCUGAGGUCAAAGUUAAAAGUCUCUGAAGAAUCCACACAGUCACUUGGUAAUAUGAAGUCUGUUUUUCUUGCUGAAAGGGAGAAUCUUCUAUCUCAAUUAGAGAUUCUUACUCAGAAUGUAAAUAAGAUUUCAGACAAAUAUUCUAACCUGGAAAACUCUCUAUCUAAUAUAAGCACUCUAGUUGGGUGUCUGAGGUCAAAGUUGAAAGACUCUGAAGAAUCUUGUCAGUCUCUUCGCAAUCAGCACUCUGGUCUUCUUGUUGAAAGGAACACUCUUCUUUCUCAGGUGGAGGUUCUUACUCAGAAUGUAGAGAAGCUUUAUGUCAAAAACUCAUUCUUGGAGGACUCCCUAACUGUUGUAAGCAGUGAAGUUGGGUCUUUGAGGUCAAAGUUGAAAGACUUAGAAGAAUCUUGUCAAUCACUCAGCAACCAUAACUCUGGUCUUUUUGCCGAGAGGAACAAUCUUCUAUCUAAGUUAGAGAUUCUUUCUCAGAUUGUAGAGAAGCUUUCCUACAAGAAUUCCUUCUCGGAGAACUCCCUAUCGGAGGUAAGAAAUGAAGCUGUUUUUCUGAAGUCAGAGUUAAAAGACUUAGAAGACUCCUAUCAGUCCCUGCGUGCUCAGAACUCUGGUCAUUUUGUUGAGGACACUCUUGUUUCUCAGGUCACUCUUUCUCCCUCUCCCUCUCUCGUAUAUUAUCUCUUUUUAAGCAAUAACUAUUAUUUCUUGUCACAUGAUAGCAAUUUUCCAUUUUUACCAAGAUAUUUUUCCAUUCUCAGAUUACAUUGAUUUUCAUGUUUGCAUGCUAGGUAGAAAGAAUCACCCUGAAUCUGAUAAACCUGGAGAGUAUGUUCACUGACUUGAAGGAUAAGAACUUGAAAUUAACAAGAGAAAGAGAUUUUUUAACCCAUCAGGUCAAGGAUCUACAAGAUCAUCUGAAGCUAGAAAAAGAAGAGCAUGAAACCCAUAUUCAAUCAUACAAGAGUAGGAUAGCCACAUUAGAGAACCAGAUCUUUCUCCUGCGACAGGAAAACCAGCUUAAAGAGGAGGAGCUUGAAGCAGAAGAAAAUAAUCUGAUUGGUGCUCUGAUGGGAAAUUUUAUCUUGCAAAGAAGUUUGUUUGAUGUAAAUGGAAGGAACUUGGAUCUUUCCAUAGAAUGUCAGAAGCACAUACAGAAUUGUAAUAGUGCCGAGACAAUUAUUUCAGAACUUGAACAGGAAAAGCUCAUGCAUAUCAACAACAUACUGUUAUUGUCGGAGCAAAAGGAGAAUUUAAAUAAUGGAAUUCAUUUACUCUGGAACACACUUAUUUUUGACAAGGACUUUGGUAACUUGGAUGAAAUCCAGGAUGAAUUUAAUAUUAUCUUGACUGAAAUUAAAAAGCUGUUGAAUUUUACCUCAGAAGCCGAGGGUGAUAAUCAACAACUGCAUAUAGAGAUAUCAGUGUUUGCCAC